AGUGAACGCUGGCGGUAGGCCUAACACAUGCAAGUCGAACGGCAGCACAGUAAGAGCUGGCUCUUACGGGUGGCGAGUGGCGUACGGGUGAGGAAUACAUCGGAAUCUACUUUUUCGUGGGGGAUAACGUAGGUAAACUUACGCUAAUACCGCAUACGACCUACGGGUGAAAGCAGGGGAUCUUUGGACCUUGCGCGACUGAAUGAGCCGAUGUCGGAUUAGCUAGUUGGCGGGGUAAAGGCCUACGAAGGCGACGAUCCGUAGCUGGUCUGAGAGGGUGGUUCGCCACACUGGCACAGAGACACGGCGCAGACACCUACGGGAGGCAGCAGUGGGGACUAUUGCACAAUGGGCGAAAGCCUGAUCCAGCCAUACCGCGUGAGUCCAGAAGGCCUUCCGGUUGUAAAACCAUUUUGUUGGGAAAGAAAAGCAGCAGGUUAAUACCCCGCUGUUCUGACGGUACCCAAAGAAUAAGCACCGGCUAACUUCGUG
This 492-nucleotide ribosomal RNA is filed under the name uncultured bacterium. RNAcentral's name for it is "partial 16S ribosomal RNA". It matches the Rfam family "Bacterial small subunit ribosomal RNA", at positions 29 to 507 of the family's 1533-position model. The record is from RNAcentral.